This 5413-nucleotide long non-coding RNA is filed under the name Salmo salar (Atlantic salmon). RNAcentral's name for it is "lncRNA (ENSSSAG00000112708.1)". The record is from RNAcentral. Lineage: Eukaryota; Metazoa; Chordata; Actinopteri; Salmoniformes; Salmonidae.
GUGUGUAGUAGUGGUAGUAGUAGUAGUGGUAGUGGUGAUUGUUGUAGUAGUGGUAGCAUUAGUGGUAGUAGUGGUAGUAGUUGUACAUUUACAUUUACAUAUACGUCAUUUAGCAGACGCUCUUAUCCAGAGCGACUUACAAAUUGGUGCAUUCACCUUAUGAUAUCCAGUGGAACAACCACUUUACAAUAGUACAUCUAUAUCUUUUUUUGGGGGGGGGUUAGAAGGUUUACUUAAUCCUAUCCCAGGUAUUCCUUAAAGAGGUGGGGUUUCAGGUGUCUCCGGAAGGUGGUGAUUGGCUCCGCUGUCCUGGCGUCGUGAGGGAGCUUGUUCCACCAUUGGGGUGCCAGAGCAGCAAACAGUUUUGACUGGGCUGAGCGGGAACUGUAGUAGUAAUAGUAGUAGUGGUAGUAGUUGUAGUAGUAGUGGUAGUAGUAGUAGUGGGGGUGGUAGUGGUUGUGGUAGUAGUAGUAGUAGUAGUAGUAGUAGUAGUGCUAGUAGUAGCAGUGGUGGUAGUAGUAGUAGUGGUGGUAGUAGUAGUAGUAGUGGUGGUGGUAGUAGUAGUAGUAGUAGUAGUGGUGGUGGUAGUAGUAGUAAUGGUAGUAGUGGUAGUAGUAGUGGUAUUGGUAGUAGUAGUAGUAGUGGUAGUAGUAGUAGUGGUAGUAGUAGUAGUGGUGGUAGUAGUAGUGGUGGUAGUAGUGUUAGUAGUAGUGGUAGUAGUAGUGGUAGUGGUAGUGGUAGUAGUAGUAGUAGUAGUAUUAGUAGUAGUGGUAGUAGUGGUAGUAGUGGUAUUAGUAUUAGUGGUAGUAGUAGUAGUAGUAGUAGUGGUAGUAGUAGUAGUAGAAGUAGUAGUAGUAGUAGUAGUAGUGUUAGUAGAAGUAGUGGUGGUAGUAGUGUUAGUUGUAGUGGUAGUAGUAAUAGUAGUGGUGGUAGUAGUGGUAGUAGUAGUGGUAGUGGUAGUGGUAGUAGUAGUAGUAGUAGUAGUAGUGGUGGUAGUAGUAGUAGUUGUAUUAGUGUAAUAGUGGUAGUAGUAGUAGUAGUAGUUGUUGUAUUAGUGGUAAUAGAGGUUGUAUUGGUAGUAGUAGUGGUAGUAGUAAUAGUGGUGGUGGUAGUAGUAGUAUUAGUAGUGGUAGAAGUAGUAGUAGUAGUAGUAGUUGUAUUAGUGGUAAUAGUGGUAGUAGUUGUAUUAGUGGCAAUACUGGUAGUAGUAGUAGUAGCAGUAGUGUUAGUAGUUGUAGUUGUAUUAGUGGUAAUAGUAGUAGUAGUAGUAGUAGUGUUAGUAGUUGUAGUUGUAUUAGUGGUAAUAGUGGUAGAAGUAGUCGCAGUAGUAGUAGUAGUGUUAGUACUAGUAGUUGUAUUAGUGGAAAUAGUGGUAGUAGUAGUAGUUGAUUUAGUGGUAAUAGUGGUAGUAGUAGUGGCAGUGGUAAUAGUGGUAGUAGUAGUAGUAGUUAAAGUAUUAGUUGUCGUGGUAGUAGUAGUAGUAGCAGCAAUAGUAGGUGUGUAGUAGUGGUAGUAGUAGUAGUGGUAGUGGUGAUAGUAGUAGUAGUGGUAGCGGUAGUGGUAGUAGUGGUAGUAGUUGUAGUAGUAGCAAUAGUAGUAGUGGUAGUAGUUGUAGUAGUACUGGUAGUAGUAGUGGUGGUGGUAGUAGUGGUUGUGGUAGUAGUAGUAGUAGUAGUAGUAGUGGUAGUAGUAGUAGUAGUAGUAGUAGUAGUGGUAGUAGGAAUAAUCGUGGUGGUAGAAGUAAUGGUGGUGGUAGUGGUAGUAGUAGUAAUGGUAGUAGUGGUAGUAGUCGAAGUAGUAGUAGUGGUAGUAGUAGUAGUAGUGGUGGUAGUAUUAGUAAUAGUAGUGGUAGUAGUAAUAGUGGUGGUGGUAAUAGUAGUAGUAGUGGUAGUAGUGGUAGUAGUAGUGGUGGUAGUAGUAGUAGUAGUAGUGGUGGUGGUGGUAGUAGUAGUAGUAGUGGUGGUUUUAGUAGUAGUGGUAGUAGUAGUAGUAUUAGUAUUAGUAGUGGUAGUGGUAGUUGUAGUAGUAGUGGUAGUGGUAGUGGUAGUGUUCGUAGUACUAGUAGUAGUGGUGGUGGUAGUAGUGGUGGUAGUAGUAGUAGUGGUAGUAGUAGUAGUAGUAGUAGUAUAAGUAGUGGUAGUAGCGGUACUAGCAGUAGUAGUAUUAGUAGUGGUAGUAGUAAUAGUGGUGGUGGUAGUAGUAGUAGUUGUGGUAGUAGUAGUAGUAUUAGUAGUUGUAGUAGUAGUAGUGGUGGUGGUGGUGGUAGUAGUAGUAGUGGUGGUAGUAGUAGUAGUGGUAGUAGUAGUAGUAUUAGUGUUAGUAGUGGUAGUUGUAGUAGUAGUGGUAGUAGUAGUGGUAGUGGUAGUGUCCUUAGUAGUAGUAGUGGUGGUGGUAGUAGUAGUAGUAGUGGUGGUAGUAGUAGUGGUAGUAGUAGUAGUAGUAGUAUAAGUAGUGGUAGUAGCGGUAGUAGCAGUAGUAGUAGUAUUAGUAGUGGUAGUAGUAAUAGUGGUGGUAGUAGUAGUAGUUGUCGUGGUAGUAGUGGUAGUAGUAGUAGUAUUAGUGUUAGUAGUGGUAGUGGUAGUUGUAGUAGUAGUUGUAUUGGUAGUAGUAGUGGUAGUAGUAAUAGUGGUGGUGGUAGUAGUAGUAUUAGUAGUGGUAGAAGUAGUAGUAGUAGUAGUAGUUGUAUUAGUGGUAAUAUUGGUAGUAGUUGUAUUAUUGGCAAUACUGGUAGUAGUAGUAGUAGCAGUAGUGUUAGUAGUUGUAGUUGUAUUAGUGGUAAUAGUGGUAGUAGUAGUAGUAGUGUUAGUAGUUGUAGUUGUAUUAGUGGUAAUAGUGGUAGAAGUAGUCGCAGUAGUAGUAGUAGUGUUAGUACUAGUAGUUGUAUUAGUGGAAAUAGUGGUAGUAGUAGUAGUUGAUUUAGUGGUAAUAGUGGUAGUAGUAGUGGCAGUGGUAAUAGUGGUAGUAGUAGUAGUAGUUAAAGUAUUAGUUGUCGUGGUAGUAGUAGUAGUAGCAGCAAUAGUAGGUGUGUAGUAGUGGUAGUAGUAGUAGUGGUAGUGGUGAUAGUAGUAGUAGUGGUAGCGGUAGUGGUAGUAGUGGUAGUAGUUGUAGUAGUAGCAAUAGUAGUAGUGGUAGUAGUAGUAGUAGUGGUGGUUUUAGUAGUAGUGGUAGUAGUAGUAGUAUUAGUGUUAGUAGUGGUAGUGGUAGUUGUAGUAGUAGUGGUAGUGGUAGUGGUAGUGUUCGUAGUACUAGUAGUAGUGGUGGUGGUAGUAGUGGUGGUAGUAGUAGUAGUGGUAGUAGUAGUAGUAGUAGUAGUAGUAGUAGUAGUAUAAGUAGUGGUAGUAGUGGUAGUAGCAGUAGUAGUAUUAGUAGUGGUAGUAGUAAUAGUGGUGGUGGUAGUAGUAGUAGUUGUGGUAGUAGUAGUAGUAUUAGUAGUUGUAGUAGUAGUAGUGGUGGUGGUGGUGGUAGUAGUAGUAGUGGUGGUAGUAGUAGUAGUGGUAGUAGUAGUAGUAUUAGUGUUAGUAGUGGUAGUGGUAGUUGUAGUAGUAGUGGUAGUAGUAGUGGUAGUGGUAGUGUCCUUAGUAGUAGUAGUGGUGGUGGUAGUAGUAGUAGUAGUGGUGGUAGUAGUAGUGGUAGUAGUAGUAGUAGUAGUAUAAGUAGUGGUAGUAGCGGUAGUAGCAGUAGUAGUAGUAUUAGUAGUGGUAGUAGUAAUAGUGGUGGUAGUAGUAAUAGUUGUCGUGGUAGUAGUGGUAGUAGUAGUAGUAUUAGUGUUAGUAGUGGUAGUGGUAGUUGUAGUAGUAGUGGUAGUAGUAGUGUCCUUAGUAGUAGUAGUGGUGGUGGUAGUAGUAGUAGUGGUGGUAGUAGUAGUGGUAGUAGUAGUAGUAGUAGUAUAAGUAGUGGUAGUAGCGGUAGUAGCAGUAGUAGUAGUAAUAGUGGUGGUGGUAGUAGUAGUAGUUGUGGUAGUAGUGGUGGUAGUAGUAGUAGUAAUGGUAGUAGUGGUAGUAGUAGUAGUAGUAGUAGUAGUAGUAGUAGUAGUAGUAGUAGUAGUGGUAGUAGUAGUAGUAGUUGUAUUAGUGGUAAUAGUGGAAGUAGUUGUAUUAGUGGCAAUACUGGUGGUAGUAGUAGUAGUAGCAGUAUUAUUAUUAUUAGUAGUGUUAGUAGUUGUUGUUGUAUUAGUGGUAAUAGUGAUAGUAGUAGCAGUAGUAGUAGCGGUAGUAGGUGUAGUGUUGGUACUAGUAGUUGUAUUAGUUGAAAUAGUGGUAGUAGUAGUAGUUGAUUUAGUGGUAAUAGUGGUAGUGGUAAUAGUGGUAGUAGUAGUAGUGGUGAUAGUAGUAGUAGUGAUGGUAGUAGUAGUAGUGGUAGUAGUAGUAGUAGUAGUAGUAGUAUAAGUAGUGGUAGUAGCGGUAGUAUCACUAGUAGUAGUAUUAGUAGUGGUAGUAGUAAUAGUGGUGGUGGUAGUAGUAGUAGUUGUGGUAGUAGUAGUGGUGGUAGUAGUAGUAGUAAUGGUAGUAGUGGUAGUAGUAGUAGUAGUAGUAGUAGUUUUUAGUAGUGGUAGUAGUAGUAGUAGUUGUAUUAGUGGUAAUAGUGGUAGUAGUUGUAUUAGUGGCAAUACUGGUAGUAGUAGUAGUUGUAUUAGUGGUAAUAGUGGUAGUAGUUGUAUUAGUGGCAAUACUGGUGGUAGUAGUAGUAGUAGCAGUAUUAUUAGUAGUAGUAGUGUUAGUAGUUGUUGUUGUAUUAGUGGUAAUAGUGAUAGUAGUAGCAGUAGUAGUAGCGGUAGUAGGUGUAGUGUUAGUACUAGUAGUUGUAUUAUUGGUAAUAGUGGUAGUAGUAGUAGUGGUAGUAGUAGUUAAAGUAGUAGUUGUAGUGGUAGUAGUUGUAGUAGUAGUAGUAGUAGCAGCAGUAGUAGGUGUGUAGUAGUGGUAGUAGUAGUGGUAGUAGUAGUAGUGGUGAUAGUAGUAGUAGUGGUAGCGGUACUGGUAGUAGUGGUAGUAGUAGUAGUAAUAGUAGUAGUGGUAGUAGUUGUAGUAGUACUGGUAGUAGUAGUAAUAGUGGUGGUGGUAGUAGUAGUAGUAGGAGUAGUAGUUGUAGUGGUAGUAUUAGUAGUUGUAGUGGUUGUAGUAAUAGUGGUGGUGGUAGUAGUAGUAGUCGUGGUAGUAGUAGUAGUAGUGGUAGUAGUGGUAGUAGUAGUGGUGGUAGCAGUAGUAGUAGUAGUUGUAGUAGUGGUGGUGGUGGUUGUAGUAGUUGUGGUGGUAGUAGUAGUAGUGGUAGUAGUAGUAGUAGUAUUAGUGUUAGUAGUAGUAGUUGUAGUAGUAGUGUUGUGGUGGUAGUAGUAGUGGUAGUGGUAGUGUUAGUAGUAGGUGUAGUAGUAGUGGUGGUGGUAGUAGUAGUAGUAGCAGUGGUGGUAGUAGUAGUAGUG